AAGCAAGUUAUCAUUAUUGAUAGGCAUGCUCCAUUUUCUUUAGCUUUAAUCCCUGGUUGGUCUUGUUUGUCUGAUCCUUUCAGUUCUUCAGAUGUAGUUCCUCAGGUUAAAGACAGAUGUUUAUCUUCUGAUGUUUUUCAGGACCUCCUGUGGAAUCUGAGCAUGCUGACAUCACACAGGUGAGUUUUAGGAAUUGGGAGACACCUGAGCUUCAUCACAGCUUGAAUUGUAUCAGUCAGCUGGUUUGUUUUUCUGCAGGGCAACAACGUAUAUGAAGAGAUCAGAGAGGAGGACAGACAGAGCAGCUCACCUCCUGCAGGAGUGUUUUCAACAGAUGCUACACCAAAAGCCUCCAACCACAUGGAGAUGAAAACAAUAGACCUCCACAGCCUCUCCACCUCUCCUCAGAACAAAGUCCAUGCCAGCCCUGCCGACCACACCACAGAUGCUUCACCUCCUCAUCUGUCCAAAAACAUCAGUAGUGAUGCUGCUGAUGGAACCUUGGUGGCUAACAGAUGAACAGAAUCCAUACAACAGUAUAUUUUUCUGUUUAUGAUCAUCUUUACAACUUGCUGUCAAACAGUUACACUGAAAGUUGUUUUUAUUACAGCUACUUUUAAUUUAGUUUAACAGAUGGCAUGAUGGUAUGACUGACAGGCUGUUCCUGGAGCAAGAUCCUUAAAUGCAGUCAGCAAAAAGGCUCCAGGUGGCAAACUUCAUCUAUUUUAUGUUAGUGUGUCUUUUAAUCAAACCACUGGAACUCAGAUAAACUUCUGUGUCACCUGUUACUGUUGUCAUCAGUCAGACUGAAACAAACACAAUAAAAAGACUAAUGUAAAAAAAACUUUAGAAAUACCUACAAUUAUUAAUAUUUAACUUUACAGCAUUACAGUGCUCAAGUGCUCGAGUUUCAGUAGUGACUGGAUGAAGGUCUGAACACCAGAUUGAAGUUAUGAUGCACAAUUUAAAAGAAAAGUCUUAGACAUUUUCUCCAUUCAUUCCCUUCAACUUAACUAAAUCAGGGUCGCAAGAGGGCUGGAGCCUUUUUCUCGGCUGCCAUAAAGUGUGAGGCAGAGCACAACCUGGACAGGUGACCAGCCUGUCGCAGGGAUAACACAGAGAGACAGACAACCAUUCACACGUCUGUGUAGCUUCUCAGUCAUGCAGGUCAUUAUAAUCUAAGGAGCUCUGAAAGAAAGCAAUUGGACUUGUUUAAGUUUGGUGAUAAUGGUUCAUGUCUCAUCCGAGAGGCUUCUUCAGUUCUACAACCAGAUGACAGCUGACAUGACAGGCCUCUGCUCAUGAUUGUUUGUAGUUGUUUCAAUUUUGUCCUUUUACUUUGUCUGUGUAUGUGAAAGCUUAAAAUUCACUUGUGAUAAAAUCUGUUUUGUAAAUUAAUAUCUUGAACCAGUAAAACUUUUUAUUUAAAGAAAAAUAUUGUUUUUCUGUGUGUUCGUAUGCUUUCAUCCCCUGGGUGUUCUUUUGCUGUGUGUCAGUUUAAGAUUUUAAUUUCAAAAGUACUUAAUAACUGACUUUUUGUCUGUUUCUGAGUUUCCUACAUAUAUUUGUUUCAUCAAGCAAUUUUUUUUAAUAAAAGUCCCAAAAAUC
Molecule: long non-coding RNA, 1608 nt
Filed under: Oreochromis niloticus (Nile tilapia)
Lineage: Eukaryota; Metazoa; Chordata; Actinopteri; Cichliformes; Cichlidae
Description: lncRNA (ENSONIG00000038999.1)
Source: RNAcentral